This 253-nucleotide ribosomal RNA is filed under the name uncultured bacterium. Its description in RNAcentral is "partial 16S ribosomal RNA". It matches the Rfam family "Bacterial small subunit ribosomal RNA", at positions 524 to 776 of the family's 1533-position model. The record is from RNAcentral.
UACGAAGGGGGCUAGCGUUGUUCGGAAUUACUGGGCGUAAAGCGCGUGUAGGCGGGUCCUUAAGUCAGGGGGGAAAUGCCGGAGCUCAACUUCGGAACUGCCUUUGAUACUGGGGAUCUUGAGUCCGGGAGAGGUGAGUGGAACUGCGAGUGUAGAGGUGAAAUUCGUAGAUAUUCGCAAGAACACCAGUGGCGAAGGCGGCUCACUGGCCCGGAACUGACGCUGAGACGCGAAAGCGUGGGGAGCAAACAGG